RNAcentral lists this ribosomal RNA (253 nucleotides) under uncultured bacterium. RNAcentral describes it as "partial 16S ribosomal RNA". It matches the Rfam family "Bacterial small subunit ribosomal RNA", at positions 524 to 776 of the family's 1533-position model. The record is from RNAcentral.
UACGUAGGGUGCGAGCGUUGUCCGGAAUUACUGGGCGUAAAGAGCUCGUAGGUGGUUUGUCGCGUUGUUCGUGAAAACCGGGGGCUUAACCCUCGGCGUGCGGGCGAUACGGGCAGACUUGAGUACUGCAGGGGAGACUGGAAUUCCUGGUGUAGCGGUGGAAUGCGUAGAUAUCUGGAGGAAUACCGGUGGCGAAGGCGGCAUCCUGGACCAUUACUGACGCUGAGGCGCGAAAGCGUGGGGAGCAAACAGG